CGCCAUGGCGGACGGCUAGAAAAGACGGCUCCUAGGGUCUCCCCAAAGAUCUUAUAGGGCAGCGUAAGGGGAGUGUCUAGGGGUACGCACAGGCUCACAAUUGGUGUGCUUCCAGGCUUGGAGGGCUUGCCCUGUGUUGAUUGGUCAACUGGUUGUUAUGGCUCAUAGGGCUUGCCCUGUGUUGAUUGGUCAACUGGUUGUUAUGGCUCAUAGGCCCUCCCAGGGUGGUUGCUAUGCUCUCUAAGUCAUUGCUGUGCGCUUGUCCGUAAAGCACACCCAGAGCCAUAAAGCAUAGCGCCACCAGCUAACUUCCGAUUGGUGUGCCUCCAGGCUUGGAGGGCUUGCCCUGUGUUGAUUGGUCAACUGGUUGUUAUGGCCCAUGGGCCCCCCCAGGGUGGUUGCUAUGCU
RNAcentral lists this long non-coding RNA (408 nucleotides) under Cricetulus griseus (Chinese hamster). RNAcentral's name for it is "lncRNA (ENSCGRG00015041326.1)". The record is from RNAcentral. Lineage: Eukaryota; Metazoa; Chordata; Mammalia; Rodentia; Cricetidae.